RNAcentral lists this ribosomal RNA (497 nucleotides) under uncultured bacterium. RNAcentral describes it as "partial 16S ribosomal RNA". It matches the Rfam family "Bacterial small subunit ribosomal RNA", at positions 28 to 507 of the family's 1533-position model. The record is from RNAcentral.
GAUGAACGCUGGCGGCGUGCCUAAUACAUGCAAGUCGAGCGAACAGACGAGGAGCUUGCUCCUCUGACGUUAGCGGCGGACGGGUGAGUAACACGUGGAUAACCUACCUAUAAGACUGGGAUAACUUCGGGAAACCGGAGCUAAUACCGGAUAAUAUAUUGAACCGCAUGGUUCAAUAGUGAAAGACGGUUUUGCUGUCACUUAUAGAUGGAUCCGCGCCGCAUUAGCUAGUUGGUAAGGUAACGGCUUACCAAGGCAACGAUGCGUAGCCGACCUGAGAGGGUGGUCGGCCACACUGGAACUGAGACACGGUCCAGACUCCUACGGGAGGCAGCAGUAGGGUAUCUUCCGCAAUGGGCGAAAGCAUGACGGAACAACGCCGCGUGAGUGAUGAAGGUCUUCGGAUCGUAAAACUCUGUUAUUAGGGAAGAACAAAUGUGUAAGUAACUAUGCACGUCUUGACGGUACCUAAUCAGAAAGCCACGGCUAACUACGUG